Molecule: ribosomal RNA, 1408 nt
Filed under: metagenome
Description: SSU rRNA
Rfam family: Eukaryotic small subunit ribosomal RNA
Source: RNAcentral
AGAAUAAGGGUUCGACUCCGGAGAGGGAGCCUGAGAAACGGCUACCACUUCCAAGGAAGGCAGCAGGCGCGCAAAUUACCCACUCUCGGCACGAGUAGGUAGUGACGAAAAAUAACGAGACGGAUCUCUUUGAGGCCCGUUAUCGGAAUGAGAACAAUUUAAAUCCUUUAACGAGGAUCUAGCGGAGGGCAAGUCUGGUGCCAGCAGCCGCGGUGAUUCCAGCUCCGCAGGUGUAUAUCUAUGCUGCUGCGGUUAAAAAGCUCGUAGUUGGAUCUGCGUGCUCGGAACCGGUUGGCUCACUGAGUUCAAACUGGUCUCCGGCGCUUUAUUGGCUGGUUUUCCCUUGAUGCUCUUAACCGGGUGUCUUGGGUGGCUAGCACGUUUACUUUGAAAAAAUUAGAGUGCUCAAUACAGGCGUAAAGCCUUGAAUAGUGGUGCAUGGAAUAAUAGAAUAGGACCUCGGCUCUAUUUUGUUGGUUUUCGGAACGCGAGGUAAUGGUUAAGAGGGACAGACGGGGGCAUUCGUAUUGCGACGUUAGAGGUGAAAUUCUUGGAUUGUCGCAAGACGGACGACUGCGAAAGCAUUUGCCAAGAAUGUUUUUAUUAAUCAAGAAUGAAAGUUAGAGGUUCGAAGGCGAUCAGAUACCGCCCUAGUUCUAACCGUAAACGAUGCCAACUAGCGAUCCGCAGGCGUUAAACAACGACCUUGCGGGCAGCAUCCCGGAAACGAAAGUGUUCGGGUUCCGGGGGAAGUAUGGUUGCAAAGCUGAAACUUAAAGGAAUUGACGGAAGGGCACCACCAGGAGUGGAGCCUGCGGCUUAAUUUGACAACACGGGAAAAUUUACCCGGCCCGGACACCGUAAGGAUUGACAGAUUGAGAGCUCUUUCUUGAUUCGGUGGGUGGUGGUGCAUGGCCGUUCUUAGUUGGUGGAGCGGUUUGUUUGGUUUAUUUUGAUAACGAACGAGACUCUGGCCUACUAAAUAGUGGGCGGAUUCUUUUUGUCCGCAACACUUCUUAGAGGGACAAGCGGUGUUCAGCCGCACGAGAUUGAGCAAUAACAGGUCUGUGAUGCCCUUAGAUGUCCGGGGCUGCACGCGCGCUACACUGAAGGAAUCAGCGUGUUUUCUGACCUUGCCCGAAAGGGCUAGGUAACCCGAUGAAAAUCCUUCGUGAUUGGGAUAGGGACUUGCAAUUAUUUCCCUUGAACGAGGAAUUCCCAGUAAGUGUGGGUCAUAAGCUCGCGUUGAUUACGUCCCUGCCCUUUGUACACACCGCCCGUCGCUGCCCGGGACUGAGCCGUUUCGAGAAGAACAGGGACCGUCGUUGAAGGGCCCUAAUGGGCUUUUCUUUGAUAGAAACUGUUUUAAUCGCAGUGGCUUGAACCGGGCAAAAGUCGUAACAAGGUU